UUGGAACUAGCUUAAUCGGUAAAGCGACAGAUUUUGGGUCUGCAGAGUAGAGGUUCGAAUCCUCUGUUCCAAA
This 73-nucleotide transfer RNA is filed under the name Strombidium sp. Its description in RNAcentral is "tRNA-Gln". It matches the Rfam family "tRNA". Rfam says of the family: Transfer RNA (tRNA) molecules are approximately 80 nucleotides in length. Their secondary structure includes four short double-helical elements and three loops (D, anti-codon, and T loops). The record is from RNAcentral. Lineage: Eukaryota; Ciliophora; Spirotrichea; Strombidiidae.